Long non-coding RNA from Silurus meridionalis, 1045 nucleotides. RefSeq lists it as uncharacterized. The transcript has 3 exons. The record is from RefSeq and is a predicted model, not a curated record. Lineage: Eukaryota; Metazoa; Chordata; Actinopteri; Siluriformes; Siluridae.
ACAUGGAAGCACCAGCAUCUCUGUAAUCAGCACCUUCAAAGUCAUAGCAUAAUCUGUGUAAUGGAUGGUCAACUCAGAAAAGGAGUAAUGAAAGCCUAUGAAGUAUGAUAGCUACUGUAUGAAAACUCUGAAGGCAGACCAAAGCAGGUGUGGAGGUGCCAAGCCAAGAGUCCCAGACGAGAGGCAGCAGACACGGUGUCGUCCAGUUGUCCAAGUGCAUAUGAUCUUCUAAUGAGCCUGACAGAUGCUUCUAGCCUUCUAACAGACCACAAGACAAACUUUCCCGAUGCUGGCAUUUACAUGUUUAUCAUUGCAGACCACCUUUACCUCAGGAAGGGCUUGUAAUCAGCAUUACUUCAGUCAGGUGUAUGAGGAGCAGGAAGAACACAAUAAUAUGCAGAACAAUUGCAACUCCAGGACCAGAUUUAGGUAUAUGUAGCAUGUCUGCCAUUACUGAUGGCCUCAAUAAUUAAUGAAGCUGAUCAUUUGAAGGUUUAGUAGAUGUGUUCGAGCAGGAAAUGUAACUCGACUCGUGCUGAUUUUGUUUGCUUUACCACUCAGAGCCACAUGCACCGACAGUGUCUUUGGGAAACAGAAGUCAGGCAUGACGUGUUUAUUCAUCAGUUAAUAAAUGCUCACCAGAUGAGCAGAUGAUGGGUCAGAAGCACGGAGCGUAAACAAAGCGGAACGCACAAAGGAAAAUAGGAGGAUCAAGCCUUUAACGUGUGGAUGGAAAUAAAACAAACACAGCUGCCCAAAAAAUAAAAAAUAAAUAAAUCCUUCACACCCAGCCCUUUUUCCUUUUUCCUACAGCAAAUUUUUCCAUUUCCAAAAGAAAGGAUACCAUUCGUUUGCUGUCAUCACUAAUUCAUUUUUUUGCACAAAAUGCGUCUGUCUACAUCUGUCUGUUACGAUGCACCUCGUCUGCUCUUAUCAGCGUCCAGCACAACAACUAACAUAGUGAAACGAGCGCGCGCAAGCCACCAGUGCGUACAUCACCACCAUUCAGAAUUUCUGAAGUUAUUUCCUAACAAUGCAUUUAAUU